Long non-coding RNA from Syngnathoides biaculeatus (alligator pipefish), 279 nucleotides. RefSeq lists it as uncharacterized. The transcript is spliced from 2 exons. NCBI's taxonomy places the organism in Eukaryota, Metazoa, Chordata, Actinopteri, Syngnathiformes, Syngnathidae. The record is from RefSeq and is a predicted model, not a curated record.
CAGGAAUCCUGACUCGCUCACCCGGCCUUUGUCUUUCCUGCCCUCUCCCGACACUUUAUGUCAGGAAGCUUGGGGUCUCGCCACAUCGACGCUGGGCCCACCGAUCUCAUCCCCAGGCCUCGCCGGGCGCUCCAGGGCGCUUUAUUGGCUUCGGAUUUAUGGGAGCGUGGACACGCGCUCGCCACGCACAGCGGGCCUGACUGGAAAGCAAACAAUAGCGCGGCCACCCAUUGAUAUGACAAUUGAUGGCUACCCCCCUACAAAAACUUUCCCCUUUGC